UCGUCACACUAUCGUUAACUGAAUACAUAGGUUAACGAGGCGAACCGGGGGAACUGAAACAUCUAAGUACCCCGAGGAAAAGAAAUCAACCGAGAUUCCCCCAGUAGCGGCGAGCGAACGGGGAGCAGCCCAGAGUCUGAAUCAGCUUGUGUGUUAGUGGAACGGUCUGGAAAGUCCGACGGUACAGGGUGAUAGUCCCGUACACCAAAAUGCACAGGUUGUGAACUCGAAGAGUAGGGCGGGACACGUGGUAUCCUGUCUGAAUAUGGGGGGACCAUCCUCCAAGGCUAAAUACUCCUGACUGACCGAUAGUGAACCAGUACCGUGAGGGAAAGGCGAAAAGAACCCCGGCGAGGGGAGUGAAAAAGAACCUGAAACCGUGUACGUACAAGCAGUGGGAGCACCUUCGGGUGUGACUGCGUACCUUUUGUAUAAUGGGUCAGCGACUUAUAUUCUGUAGCAAGGUUAACCGUAUAGGGGAGCCGCAGGGAAACCGAGUCUUAACUGGGCGUUAAGUUGCAGGGUAUAGACCCGAAACCCGGUGAUCUAGCCAUGGGCAGGUUGAAGGUUGGGUAACACUAACUGGAGGACCGAACCGACUAAUGUUGAAAAAUUAGCGGAUGACUUGUGGCUGGGGGUGAAAGGCCAAUCAAACCGGGAGAUAGCUGGUUCUCCCCGAAAGCUAUUUAGGUAGCGCCUCGUGAACUCAUCUUCGGGGGUAGAGCACUGUUUCGGCUAGGGGGUCAUCCCGACUUACCAACCCGAUGCAAACUACGAAUACCGAAGAAUGUUAUCACGGGAGACACACGGCGGGUGCUAACGUCCGUCGUGAAGAGGGAAACAACCCAGACCGCCAGCUAAGGUCCCAAAGUCAUGGUUAAGUGGGAAACGAUGUGGGAAGGCACAGACAGCCAGGAUGUUGGCUUAGAAGCAGCCAUCAUUUAAAGAAAGCGUAAUAGCUCACUGGUCGAGUCGGCCUGCGCGGAAGAUGUAACGGGGCUAAACCAUGCACCGAAGCUGCGGCAGCGACACUAUGUGUUGUUGGGUAGGGGAGCGUUCUGUAAGCCUGCGAAGGUGUGCUGUGAGGCAUGCUGGAGGUAUCAGAAGUGCGAAUGCUGACAUAAGUAACGAUAAAGCGGGUGAAAAGCCCGCUCGCCGGAAGACCAAGGGUUCCUGUCCAACGUUAAUCGGGGCAGGGUGAGUCGACCCCUAAGGCGAGGCCGAAAGGCGUAGUCGAUGGGAAACAGGUUAAUAUUCCUGUACUUGGUGUUACUGCGAAGGGGGGACGGAGAAGGCUAUGUUAGCCGGGCGACGGUUGUCCCGGUUUAAGCAUGUAGGCUGAUUGUCCAGGCAAAUCCGGAUAAUCAAGGCUGAGGUGUGAUGACGAGGCACUACGGUGCUGAAGUAACAAAUGCCCUGCUUCCAGGAAAAGCCUCUAAGCAUCAGGUAACAUUAAAUCGUACCCCAAACCGACACAGGUGGUCAGGUAGAGAAUACCAAGGCGCUUGAGAGAACUCGGGUGAAGGAACUAGGCAAAAUGGUGCCGUAACUUCGGGAGAAGGCACGCUGGUGUGUAGGUGAAGUCCCUGCGGAUGGAGCUGAGACCAGUCGAAGAUACCAGCUGGCUGCAACUGUUUAUUAAAAACACAGCACUGUGCAAACACGAAAGUGGACGUAUACGGUGUGACGCCUGCCCGGUGCCGGAAGGUUAAUUGAUGGGGUUAUCCGUAAGGAGAAGCUCUUGAUCGAAGCCCCGGUAAACGGCGGCCGUAACUAUAACGGUCCUAAGGUAGCGAAAUUCCUUGUCGGGUAAGUUCCGACCUGCACGAAUGGCGUAAUGAUGGCCAGGCUGUCUCCACCCGAGACUCAGUGAAAUUGAACUCGCUGUGAAGAUGCAGUGUACCCGCGGCAAGACGGAAAGACCCCGUGAACCUUUACUAUAGCUUGACACUGAACAUUGAGCCUUGAUGUGUAGGAUAGGUGGGAGGCUUUGAAGCGUGGACGCCAGUCUGCGUGGAGCCAACCUUGAAAUACCACCCUUUAAUGUUUGAUGUUCUAACGUUGGCCCCUUACCGGGGUUGCGGACAGUGUCUGGUGGGUAGUUUGACUGGGGCGGUCUCCUCCCAAAGCGUAACGGAGGAGCACGAAGGUUAGCUAAUCCUGGUCGGACAUCAGGAGGUUAGUGCAAUGGCAUAAGCUAGCUUGACUGCGAGCGUGACGGCGCGAGCAGGUGCGAAAGCAGGUCAUAGUGAUCCGGUGGUUCUGAAUGGAAGGGCCAUCGCUCAACGGAUAAAAGGUACUCCGGGGAUAACAGGCUGAUACCGCCCAAGAGUUCAUAUCGACGGCGGUGUUUGGCACCUCGAUGUCGGCUCAUCACAUCCUGGGGCUGAAGUAGGUCCCAAGGGUAUGGCUGUUCGCCAUUUAAAGUGGUACGCGAGCUGGGUUUAGAACGUCGUGAGACAGUUCGGUCCCUAUCUGCCGUGGGCGCUGGAGAAUUGAGGGGGGCUGCUCCUAGUACGAGAGGACCGGAGUGGACGCAUCACUGGUGUUCGGGUUGUCAUGCCAAUGGCACUGCCCGGUAGCUAAAUGCGGAAGAGAUAAGUGCUGAAAGCAUCUAAGCACGAAACUUGCCCCGAGAUGAGUUCUCCCUGAGACUUUAAGUCUCCUGAAGGAACGUUGAAGACGACGACGUUGAUAGGCCGGGUGUGUAAGCGCAGCGAUGCGUUGAGCUAACCGGUACUAAUGAACCGUGAGGCUUAACCUU
This 2764-nucleotide ribosomal RNA is filed under the name Klebsiella pneumoniae. RNAcentral's name for it is "bacterial LSU rRNA". It matches the Rfam family "Bacterial large subunit ribosomal RNA". The record is from RNAcentral. Lineage: Bacteria; Pseudomonadati; Pseudomonadota; Gammaproteobacteria; Enterobacterales; Enterobacteriaceae.